CGGUUCGGAUCGGAGUCUGCAACCCGACUCCGUGAAGCUGGAUUCGCUAGUAAUCGCGCAUCAGCCAUGGCGCGGUGAAUACGUUCCCGGGCCUUGUACACACCGCCCGUCAAGCCAUGGGAGCCGGGGGUGCUUGAAGUGCGUCGCCGCAAGGCGCGCCCUAGAGCAAAACCGGUGACUGGGGCUAAGUCGUAACAAGGUAUC
RNAcentral lists this ribosomal RNA (204 nucleotides) under uncultured bacterium. Its description in RNAcentral is "partial 16S ribosomal RNA". It matches the Rfam family "Bacterial small subunit ribosomal RNA", at positions 1288 to 1500 of the family's 1533-position model. The record is from RNAcentral.